Molecule: ribosomal RNA, 447 nt
Filed under: uncultured bacterium
Lineage: Bacteria
Description: bacterial SSU rRNA
Rfam family: Bacterial small subunit ribosomal RNA
Source: RNAcentral
UCGGGAAUUUUGGGCAAUGGGCGAAAGCCUGACCCAGCAACGCCGCGUGAAGGAUGAAGUAUUUCGGUAUGUAAACUUCGAAAGAAUAGGAAGAAUAAAUGACGGUACUAUUUAUAAGGUCCGGCUAACUACGUGCCAGCAGCCGCGGUAAUACGUAGGGACCAAGCGUUGUUCGGAUUUACUGGGCGUAAAGGGCGCGUAGGCGGCAAUUCAAGUCAUCUGUGAAAUCUCCGGGCUUAACUCGGAACGGUCAGAUGAUACUGCUUUGCUAGAGUGCAGAAGGGGCAAUCGGAAUUCUUGGUGUAGCGGUGAAAUGCGUAGAUAUCAAGAGGAACACCUGAGGUGAAGACGGGUUGCUGGGCUGACACUGACGCUGAGGCGCGAAAGCGUGGGGAGCAAACAGGAUUAGAUACCCCAGUAGUCCCUGAGCGGGCUGGCAAGGCGCAU